Molecule: ribosomal RNA, 502 nt
Filed under: uncultured bacterium
Lineage: Bacteria
Description: partial 16S ribosomal RNA
Rfam family: Bacterial small subunit ribosomal RNA
Source: RNAcentral
AUUGAACGCUGGCGGCAUGCCUUACACAUGCAAGUCGAACGGCAGCAUAGGAGCUUGCUCCUGAUGGCGAGUGGCGAACGGGUGAGUAAUAUAUCGGAACGUGCCCUAGAGUGGGGGAUAACUAGUCGAAAGACUAGCUAAUACCGCAUACGAUCUGCGGAUGAAAGUGGGGGAUCGCAAGACCUCAUGCCCCUGGAGCGGCCGAUAUCUGAUUAGCUAGUUGGUGGGGUAAAAGCUCACCAAGGCGACGAUCAGUAGCUGGUCUGAGAGGACGACCAGCCACACUGGGACUGAGACACGGCCCAGACUCCUACGGGAGGCAGCAGUGGGGAAUCUUGGACAAUGGGGGCAACCCUGAUCCAGCAAUGCCGCGUGAGUGAAGAAGGCCUUCGGGUUGUAAAGCUCUUUUGUCAGGGAAGAAACGGUUCUGGAUAAUACCUGGAGCUAAUGACGGUACCUGAAGAAUAAGCACCGGCUAACUACGUGCCAGCCGCCGCUGUAA